AGAGCGAACGCUGGCGGCAGGCCUAAUACAUGCAAGUCGAACGGACCCUUCGGGGUUAGUGGCGGACGGGUGAGUAACACGUGGGAACGUGCCCUUUGGUUCGGAACAACUCAGGGAAACUUGAGCUAAUACCGAAUGUGCCCCCUCCUUUGAUUAGGGGGGUGGGAAAGAUUUAUCGCCAUUGGAGCGGCCCGCGUCUGAUUAGCUAGUUGGUGGGGUAAAGCCCACCAAGGCUACGAUCAGUAGCUGGUCUGAGAGGAUGAUCAGCCACACUGGGACUGAGACACGGCCCAGACUCCUACGGGAGGCAGCAGUAGGGAAUCUUGCGCAAUGGGCGAAAGCCUGACGCAGCCAUGCCGCGUGAAUGAUGAAGGUCUUAGGAUUGUAAAAUUCUUUCAGCGGGGACGAUAAUGACGGUACCCGCAGAAGAAGCCCCGGCUAACUUCGUGCCAGCAGCCGC
RNAcentral lists this ribosomal RNA (460 nucleotides) under uncultured bacterium. RNAcentral's name for it is "SSU rRNA". It matches the Rfam family "Bacterial small subunit ribosomal RNA", at positions 26 to 518 of the family's 1533-position model. The record is from RNAcentral.